UCCGGCUUGACGCCGGCAGUCCCCCGAGAGUCCUCAGCAUGACCUGUUAGUAACACGGCGGUCAGGAACAUGUCAAACCCAGGUAAGGUUCUUCGCGUUGCGUCGAAUUAAACCACAUGCUCCGCUGCUUGUGCGGGUCCCCGUCAAUUCCUUUGAGUUUUAGCCUUGCGGCCGUACUCCCCAGGCGGGGCACUUAAUGCGUUAGCUCCGGCACGGGAGGAGUCGACACCUCCCACACCUAGUGCCCAUCGUUUACGGCGUGGACUAC
This 268-nucleotide unclassified non-coding RNA is filed under the name uncultured Thermoleophilia bacterium. Its description in RNAcentral is "contains 16S-23S intergenic spacer region". Lineage: Bacteria; Bacillati; Actinomycetota; Thermoleophilia. The record is from RNAcentral.